UUUCCGUAGGUGAACCUGCGGAAGGAUCAUUACAGUAGUCGCCCGGGUUGCCGCAAGGCCUCCCGGGCAACCUACCACCCUUUGUUUAUUACACUUUGUUGCUUUGGCAGGCCUGCCCUCGGGCUGCUGGCUCCGGCCGGCGAGCGCUUGCCAGAGGACCUAAACUCUGUUUGUCUAUACUGUCUGAGUACUAUAUAAUAGUUAAAACUUUCAACAACGGAUCUCUUGGUUCUG
This 234-nucleotide unclassified non-coding RNA is filed under the name plant metagenome. Its description in RNAcentral is "partial contains small subunit ribosomal RNA, internal transcribed spacer 1, and 5.8S ribosomal RNA". The record is from RNAcentral.